UUAUGUUAAAAGAAAUAUAUUUAACAUUACUGUUCCCUAAUGUCUUUAAAAAUAGGAAAUAGUAUAUAAUUUUGCUUAUACCCAAUAGCUUCCCAACCGUUUUCAGUAACAUAUUAUGUAUGUAGAGCACACUGAGUCAAUAGAAGAGGAUGUUUAUGGCGAAUAGUGACUGGCCCAGUAACUCAGAAUGGCCCUUUCUCUGCCCGGAUGCCGUCCCCAUAAACCUCUGUUACUGAAACUGCUGUAGAAGAUGAAACUGAAGCCCAUGAAGUUCAAGGGUUUCUCUUUGGAAAACUAAACCAAUGAGUACAGGGG
Long non-coding RNA from Tupaia belangeri chinensis (Chinese tree shrew), 315 nucleotides. RefSeq lists it as uncharacterized. Lineage: Eukaryota; Metazoa; Chordata; Mammalia; Scandentia; Tupaiidae. The transcript is spliced from 3 exons. The record is from RefSeq and is a predicted model, not a curated record.